AGCAAGACGACUUGGACAAACUAUUACCCCCAUACAAUGUAUGACUCUCCACCCAGGGCUGGAACCUGUUUGUCUAAACAUUUAUUCUCUGCAAAAUGCCAUGAACGUAUACAGAGCAGACUAUGGCCCUUUGCGAGUCAGGGGUUAUGAAAAGCGUUGCAGGCACCUAGCAUACCGAACUUUUGUCAGCUGGUGCUGGGGCUAUUUGGGGAGAAAGGUUCGUGUGGUCAUUCCGUCCUGUGUGGUCCAGCGUAUCCGUAGGGAGUUCCCAGACGCUGCAGGCCAGUAUGUUGGAUUUAGACCUCCCCUUGUCUGAACCGAGAUACGUAGGCAGCAAUGGCUUCUUCAAGGGGAGGAUGCUCAUAUUGUGAUGCCAGAGUAUCAGGGACUGGAACUUUCUGCAACUCCUCCACAUAUGGCUGGUUGUUGGGCACUAUGUCCUCGAAAAGCAAUGCCAUCAUGUUGAAGAUGUAACCUAGAAAAAAAAAUGUACAUGAUGUAAAUAACUGUCUACAGACCAUUUGUAAUAAUAAUUAUUAGUUGAACAACUUA
Misgurnus anguillicaudatus (oriental weatherfish) is the source of this 552-nucleotide long non-coding RNA. RefSeq lists it as uncharacterized. NCBI's taxonomy places the organism in Eukaryota, Metazoa, Chordata, Actinopteri, Cypriniformes, Cobitidae. The record is from RefSeq and is a predicted model, not a curated record.